CAGGCAAGAUCAGGUGGGACCAUUCUAGCCAAUGAAAGUGCAGCACCAUCAGCUGUCCAUUUCCAAUUGAUUGUGCCGCGACUGCUGCUUCAAGUUUCAGCACCACAAUCAUUCUGGAGUCUCAAGCAGAGACGGAAGAGGAAGCAAGAUGUUCACUCCCUCAAUGGUUCUGUUUCAAUGGAAGUCAAGGACUAAGCAGACAGCUAUCGCAUUGGUGUCUAUGGAGAACACCCCCCCCCCACCCCUCCGCCCCCCUUAAGCAG
Molecule: long non-coding RNA, 263 nt
Organism: Salvelinus namaycush (lake trout)
Lineage: Eukaryota; Metazoa; Chordata; Actinopteri; Salmoniformes; Salmonidae
Exons: 3
Source: RefSeq, a predicted model, not a curated record